RNAcentral lists this ribosomal RNA (484 nucleotides) under uncultured bacterium. RNAcentral describes it as "partial 16S ribosomal RNA". It matches the Rfam family "Bacterial small subunit ribosomal RNA", at positions 30 to 507 of the family's 1533-position model. The record is from RNAcentral.
AUUGGACGCUGGCGGCAGGCCUAACACAUGCAAGUCGAGCGGAUGAAGGGAGCUUGCUCCUGGAUUCAGCGGCGGACGGGUGAGUAAUGCCUAGGAAUCUGCCUGGUAGUGGGGGAUAACGUCCGGAAACGGGCGCUAAUACCGCAUACGUCCUGAGGGAGAAAGUGGGGGAUCUUCGGACCUCACGCUAUCAGAUGAGCCUAGGUCGGAUUAGCUAGUUGGUGGGGUAAAGGCCUACCAAGGCGACGAUCCGUAACUGGUCUGAGAGGAUGAUCAGUCACACUGGAACUGAGACACGGUCCAGACUCCUACGGGAGGCAGCAGUGGGGAAUAUUGGACAAUGGGCGAAAGCCUGAUCCAGCCAUGCCGCGUGUGUGAAGAAGGUCUUCGGAUUGUAAAGCACUUUAAGUUGGGAGGAAGGGCAGUAAGUCAAUACCUUGCUGUUUUGACGUUACCAACAGAAUAAGCACCGGCUAACUUCGUG